Molecule: long non-coding RNA, 406 nt
Organism: Polistes canadensis
Lineage: Eukaryota; Metazoa; Arthropoda; Insecta; Hymenoptera; Vespidae
Exons: 2
Source: RefSeq, a predicted model, not a curated record
GCGGCCGUGUUUGUAUCUCUGUCGCGUGUUUACGUGUAAGUGCGUGCGUGCGUGCGUUGCACUCGUUUUCGUUUAAAGCUGUUAGAGCAGCAGCAGCGCAAGCAGCAGCAAUAGCAGCUGCCUUCACACAUAUAUAUAUAUAUAUAUAUAAAGACGCGUUUAUCCGUUGUAUUAUGUUUUGUUCUUUUCUUUAUCCGUCGUAUCCUCUCUAACACAUCGAGUUUACAAUGGAAGAAAAGGAAACGACACUUUAGAGUGAGAGGAUAGUUGGUUCGCUCGUUGGUUGUUUACUCGCGCGUGUGAAUAAGUGGGAUGAAGAUGAUCGAUCGUUGUUUUCCUCCUAUUCUUUUUUUCCUUCUUUAAAAAUUAAUCCUGGUGAAGUUGAUACGUGAAAAAAAAAAAAAAA